This 353-nucleotide ribosomal RNA is filed under the name uncultured bacterium. RNAcentral describes it as "bacterial SSU rRNA". It matches the Rfam family "Bacterial small subunit ribosomal RNA", at positions 32 to 396 of the family's 1533-position model. The record is from RNAcentral.
AAUCAACGCUGGCGGCGUGCCUAACACAUGCAAGUCGCACGAGAAAGGGGAGCAAUCCCUGAGUAAAGUGGCGCACGGGUGAGUAACACGUGAAUCAUCUACCUCCGAGUGGGGAAUAACUGAGAGAAAUCUUAGCUAAUACCGCAUAACACUUACGAGUCAAAGCAGCAAUGCGCUUGGAGAGGAGUUCGCGGCCGAUUAGUUAGUUGGCGGGGUAAGGCCCACCAAGACGAUGAUCGGUAUCCGGCCUGAGAGGGCGCACGGACACACUGGAACUGAAACACGGUCCAGACUCCUACGGGAGGCAGCAGUGGGGAAUUUUGCGCAAUGGGGGAAACCCUGACGCAGCAACG